ACUACGGGAGGCAGCAGUGAGGAAUAUUGGUCAAUGGGCGCGAGCCUGAACCAGCCAAGUAGCGUGAAGGAUGACUGCCCUACGGGUUGUAAACUUCUUUUAUAAAGGAAUAAAGUGAGGCACGUGUGCCUUUUUGUCUGUACUUUAUGAAUAAGGAUCGGCUAACUCCGUGCCAGCAGCCGCGGUAAUACGGAGGAUGCGAGCGUUAUCCGGAUUUAGUGGGUUUAAAGGGAGCGUAGAUGGGUUGUUAAGUCAGUUGUGAAAGUUUGCGGCUCAACCGUAAAAUUGCAAUUGAUACUGGCAGCCUUGAGUACAGUUGAGGUAGGCGGAAUUCGUGGUGUAGCGGUGAAAUGCUUAGAUAUCACGAAGAACUCCGAUUGCGAAGGCAGCUUACUAAACUGCCACUGACAUUGAUGCUCGAAAGUGUGGGUAUCAAACAGGAUUAGAUACCCUUGUAGUC
RNAcentral lists this ribosomal RNA (460 nucleotides) under uncultured bacterium. RNAcentral describes it as "partial 16S ribosomal RNA". It matches the Rfam family "Bacterial small subunit ribosomal RNA", at positions 338 to 795 of the family's 1533-position model. The record is from RNAcentral.